CCUACGGGAGGCAGCAGUGGGGAAUAUUGGGCAAUGGAGGAAACUCUGACCCAGCAAUGCCGCGUGAAUGAAGAAGGUCUUCGGAUUGUAAAGUUCUUUAGUCAGGGACGAAUAAAAUGACGGUACCUGAAUAAUAAGCUCCGGCUAACUACGUGCCAGCAGCCGCGGUAAUACGGAGGGAGGAAGCGUUGUUCGGAAUGACUGGGCGUAAAGGGGGCGUAGGGGGGUAUACAAGUUAGUAGUGAAAUACCCAGGGCUUAACUCGGGUGCUGCUUCUAAAACUGUAAGACUUGAGUGCAGGAGAGGUUAGUGGAAUUCCGGGUGUAGCGGUGGAAUGCGUAGAUAUUAGGAGGAACACCAGAGGCGAAGGCGGCCAACUGGACUGCAACUGACGCUGAGGCACGAAAGUGUGGGGAGCAAACAGGAUUAGAUACCCCUGUAGUC
Molecule: ribosomal RNA, 444 nt
Filed under: uncultured bacterium
Lineage: Bacteria
Description: partial 16S ribosomal RNA
Rfam family: Bacterial small subunit ribosomal RNA
Source: RNAcentral